CUAAGUGCAGGCACUUGCUGCAGCCUGACGCGAACCCUCCCCAGGAGUGGGGGCCGGGUGAGAGCUGCCUUGCGGGGCUGCUCAGCGCUCCCUCCAUCCCUAUCCCAAGGCCGGUCUGGACAGCUGCUGUUCUCAUAGAAGCUCUGAGACACGGAUCUUCCAAAAGUCCUAGAAUCGAAAGGUGAAACCUGCAUCAGCUCACCUCUGGGGACAUGGCCACGGACUGGCUGGUCCCAUCUUGUUCUUCUUGGGGGUCCCUGGAGGGUCUGGCGGGCCCAGCAGUCUAAAAGCAUGUCCCACUUCUGUCAAGUCUGAGCCACGCCUCACGGAGAGGAGCUCCCGUGCUGACCAGAAGGAGGCCCACCCAUGGCCACAGCCCGCGCCAGGCCCCGGUUUCAGGUGUGGACUGAGGUGAACCCCACCACAUUCCUCUGACCUCUGUGUCCUGCAAGUGUUUGUGGACAGUCUCGAGUCUUGGUUUCUGUGUGACGAUGUCCUCUUGUUCUCUGAAGAUCCGCUGCUGCCGUGGGCCUGGCCGGGCACGGGCCAUUGCUCUGCAGUCUCUGGCUGUGUGGGAGGCCUGUUGCUCACCUCUCCUGCUAUUGCUGUCAUGCAUGGUCCAGAUGGUGGGGCAUGCUGAACUCUGGGCCUGACCCUGACCCCUGGGCACAGGUGGGCUGGAUGCCCAUGUACUCUCCCUCUGCACCUGCCUGGCCUCCACGUCAGGAGCUUCCACACCCUGCAGCCUGUGUUCAGUGGGGUGCACUAGGGCCUCCUGGGGUCCCAUCUCUGAGAGACCUGCUGGGUGGCCAAAGGGACACUGAGGCCUAGCAGGGGAAGAUGUUAACUGAAGGUCGCAAAGCCCUAGUUCUGCCCAGACACGCUGCUUCUCAGGCAGGGAGAAGGGAGCACAGACACGUGCAUGUGCACCAGAAGGGACCUUCCAGGGUGAGCUCAGGGGUCUUUCUGCCACUUGGUGCUCGCCCCUCCACACUGACACUUGGACACCAUCUUUCAUAGCUCCCUCCCCUUCGCAGCCAAGCCUGGGCACUUUCCCGGGCAUUGCAUAUGGAGCUGCCCAUUCUUUCUGUCCUGGGGCCCUGGGACCCCUAAUCGUGUACAAUCACUGUGCAUGCGACUCUUCCCAGUGGGAAUCUUACCACCUCGGACCCCCGUGGGCCUUCACACGACCUUUUCCAAGUAUUUCUACCAAACAGAGUUUCAGAAGUGGAACCGCUGUGGCAAAGGACCUGUGCCUUUGGGAUUUUAGCAUCCGUAGGAGCCUGACAGGGCUUGGAGCCUCCAAGCAGGAGGGUGUGAGAACCACCCGGGUCUGGCUGGGCACUCUUCUCCUAGCAAGAGUUAUUAGCUAGGAGUGGACUGGAUCAUCUGCCUCCUUCCAGAAGCUCUGCUACCAAGCAAAUGGCUCCGCCUCAGACUGUCCCCUGAGAAGCUGCAACAGGGGCGACGGGUGAGAUGGAGGCUGUCAGACUUGUGCCACGGCAGGGAGGGAAGGCUCUGGAACCUUGACUGGCAGGAAUGGCCCCUCCCUGAGAAGCCACGUCCUGCAGCUGAGAGCUAGUCGGAGGGUCCUGGACAGCGGCUGUCUGCAGGCAGCAGGCCUUAUGUGACAGCCGCCUCUUCUUCCACCCCUCCCUGCUGCCAGGGGCCGGGCAGUGGCUCUGAGCCCUGGGCGAGGGCCCAGCCUUGAGGAAGGCCUUGGCCCCGGGGUUGGUGCUGCCUCCUCUUCCUCCCGGGGUUGGAGCUGUCUCUGGACCCAGCUGCUCCUAUGUCCCUGGUGGGCUGUGGACGAGACAUGUCAUCCUUGUUCCCUGCAGAGGGUCCCCAGGAGUGUCUUGGAGGACCUUGAGACUCCCUUUUACUCCAAGCUGCUGCCCCUAAGCCCACCCCAGGAGGGCGGGGGCCUGCCACGUGUGGGCUGGGGGCCAAGUGGUUAAACAAGGAGAACACGGGACAGUGUCUGAGGCCGGGGGAGCCCCUCCACUGCACUCCAGGGGGCUGCCCCAGUGUCCUCACAACAUGGCGGCUGGUGUCCACAGCACAAGGUCUCCAGCAGGACAAGGCAGAACCACCAUGCCAAGGCAGAGAAGCCAGCCCUGGUAGCCACCCCACCAACUCCCAGGGUCGUCCUGGUCACCUGGCCUUCAGAUUGUGCCCCUGGGCUGAGCCAGGUCCCAGCAGUGGGACCAGCCACUUCUCCAUCAUAACCCUUGUGGCACUGACCUGUGGCCCACUUUCUCUGAUGUCCUCGACAGGACCCUGGUGCCCCUGUGCAGGAGGGGCUGGGGGCGAGUUUGCAGUGAGGUGGGUGCCAUGCCUCCUGCUGUGUCUCCACCCAGGGCUGCAGAGCUUAUUGGGUCCUGCAAGGAUUUCAUGGGACAUGUGGCUUAAGAGGAGGGGAUGGAGAGAAUGACGAGCAUUUCAGCCCAGAAAUGUGGCCUGUGUCCUCAUCUGUGACCUAAGCAUAAUCAUGGAAGUCCCUCUGUGGCCCGGGAAGCUGCACGAAGAUUUCGGCACAGCAUCCAGCCAGGAGCAGAAUGUGGGUGACAAGGGGUCCUAUGGCCACACCAAUAGCCUGGGGCACGUCUGUGCCCGGGCCACCUCCUUGGGAGAGCAGGGACAGCACAGCCUGGAAGGGACCAAGGGGAGCUGCAGUGGGGAGUGGGUGCCACAGUGGGGAAGCUGGAGAAGGACAGGCGGUGGCCAUGGGCUGGGCGCCGGGCCUCUUGGGGUUUUGGAGCAAGCCAGCGCCCAGAUUGGGGUAGGGUCAGGCACAGGAGGGCAGGCGGGGCGCAUCCCCAGCUGGCUUCAGGUCCCCUGCCCCUUCUGCCUCUGCUCUGUGUCCAGGCCUGCUCCACCAGGACAGGGGGAAGCUCCUGUUGCAUUUUCCUGCCUGAGGACAGAUGGCAGCCGAGCGAGGCAUCCGUUUUGUUGGACAGAGGAAAACAGACCUUUAAAACAGCUCAGCAGCCAGACAGGCUGGCCCGCAGGGGCUGAGGAGUGGCGGGAACUCGGCCCUGGUGCGUGGACAGGCGGCUGUGGUCCUGGGGCCGCCGGGCGUCCGUCGG
Sciurus carolinensis (gray squirrel) is the source of this 3089-nucleotide long non-coding RNA. RefSeq lists it as uncharacterized. The record is from RefSeq and is a predicted model, not a curated record. The transcript is spliced from 3 exons. NCBI's taxonomy places the organism in Eukaryota, Metazoa, Chordata, Mammalia, Rodentia, Sciuridae.